Molecule: long non-coding RNA, 890 nt
Filed under: Musa acuminata (dwarf banana)
Lineage: Eukaryota; Viridiplantae; Streptophyta; Magnoliopsida; Zingiberales; Musaceae
Description: long non-coding RNA (MACU_LNC003683)
Source: RNAcentral
CCUAGUGUUGGUCAGUAGUCGGAUCCUCCCAAGUUCUUGAAGCUUGUCGAGGUCCUUCGACGGCAGUCGAGGAUCCAAGGAGCGCAUGAUUUCCUCUGUGGACUUAGUAGGUGGACGAAGGACUGGGGAGUUGACCGGAGUUGCAGCGGGCGAAGCUGCCGGCCGGCCGGAGCCGGAGGUCCCGCGCCUUGCUCACGUAGAGCUCCUUGACGUUGGUGCCCUGCUGGCUGAGCAAGCGAGCGAGGCUGCGCUUGGCGUCCGAGCGGAAGGGGCAAUUGGUGGCCAUGAAGCCGUCCACCAGGUGGAGGUAGGCCUCCAGGUCGUGGCAGCAGGCUGCGUCGGCGUCGGGCCGCAGGUAGGGGGACAUCCGGUUGUCCACCCGCAGCUCCCGCCCGACGUGCGCGUAGCCGUCGGCGCGCGCGGGGAGCACGCAUGGCACGCGCGUGACCAGGUCGUGCGCGUUCACCACCCGCAGCACCUUGACCGCCCGCCGCUCGACCCGGUCCGCGAACGCCUGGUUCCCCACCCGCGGGCCGCCAAAGGAGAACACCGCUGUCGGCACGUGCGGCGACACGCUCGCCGCCAGCUCGUCCGCCACCAGCACCGCCAGCGCCGCCCCCAGGCUGUGCCCCACCACCGUGAUGCUCAGCUCCUCCCCUGCGUACUGUUCCAUCAGCCUCCGCACCUCCUCCGCCACCAUCGACGACAGGCUCGGCGCGUCUGGCCCCGCCGUCUUGAACAGGCUGCGAAACCCGCAUUCCACCUUCGGCACAGUUCCUCGGGGCUUCUCUGUCUGCUCCCCCUCCGAGGAUUCCUCCUCCUCGGCCUCCUGCUCCUCCUCGUCUAUUGGUACGAGCCAGGUGCGGAAGUUCUCGGCCCACUCCAGGCAG